AGAAGAGGUGAGAUUGGAAAUCAUUAUAAUGUGAUGGAGAGGAGAAAGGAGGCUGAUUAAAUGCUGAGCUUUAUUGAUAAAUGUGAAAGCAGGAAACAGUUUUAGCAAUUUUUUUUUUUUUUAAUUAACAUUUGCUGAUUAAAUGCUGAGCUUUAUUGAUAAAUGUGAAAGCAGGAAACAGUUUUAGCAAUUUUUUUUUUUUUUUAAUUAACAUUUGUGGCUAAUUUUUUUUCCAAGUCAUUUCAUGCCAUUUAAAGGCAGGUACUUGAUCAAGUUGCCAUGGAAAGCACGUUACACAUGAUAUAGCUUAGCAAUGAGGCUAAUUCUUCAAACACCUCUGAUCAACAUCAUUAUUGUUUACGCAGAGAGUGCAAUGACCAUCACAGCGAUAGACUGGAAUGAUAUCAUUUAUAGUCUUUAUAUUAUUUUCCCAUUCAGGAUCAUCUUCAUCACGAGGCCAAACCCGAUUAAAAACAAAUGCUUUUGGACCUUUGUGGUUUUGGAACUGACUCCUAAGCGCAGGUAUGAUGCUGUAGCGUCCGUUAGGUGUUGAGCAGGUUUUCACACAGGGGGAGUUCCGGGUGAAGAAAACCGCGCAGCGAUCAGGAUUUGAAUCCAGGAGGGUUUUCAUAAGUGGGUUGGGUGCUAAUCUACUGGACAUGGAAUUAAUCAGCAACAGAUACUCAGAGUGGUAGUUGUUGUUCUGUGAAUGAGGGAUUGGUUUUGGUCUGGCACCAAUCAGCUGAACACCUUUGUAAAUUUUAUCAGUACCAGCCAUGGCACGUUUCACUCCUUGUGCGUUAUUAUCACUUGGGAGGAAGUUCUGGUCGAGAGGAGCAACUUGUUCACAAUAUCUAGGUAGGACAUUAAUGCCCAAAGCAUACUGAUAAUCACCUCCAUACCUAAAACAUGAAAAAAGAGAGACAAUAAAAUAGACACAUGAGUCUCAUAUGUCACAGAAAACAUCAAUAAACUGCACUCUUCAAGGUUCUAUUGGAUAAUUAAGGGUUCUUAGCUUCAAAAAGGUUCUAAUUGGAGAGGUAAACACUUUUACAGUUUGCAGUUAAAUCUUGUUAAGCAUCGGUCAGUCUAGCAGUAGGUAUAAGCAUAUAUAGAAUAUGCUAUAUUUAUAUAAAUUGAUAAUCCACGGUUAGCCUGCUGUACAUCAGUUACUAGAUACUAACGAUAUCCAGUUACACAUUUAGCUAUGGCAAUUGUUUUGUAUUUUAAAAAUAUAUCUCAACAUUCCACCACGACCUUAGUUAUUAUCGAUCAGCUCUAAAGACAAAACAUAAAUGUAUCUUACUUGUUAUGAAGGGAGUUGAUGAUGUUAUAGAGAUUGUUCACCCCUGAAGCUGAAUGGAGCAGAAAGAGCAGGAGGAAUCCCAGCGCUCCAGAACACACCUGAUCAAAACACACACCAAACAUCUUCAUCAAUAAAAACGUGAUUUUACAGUCUACAGUGGUGCUGAAACCCAGGACCAAGAGGACCAAGUGCUUCUUGACCUGCACAGUGAGCAGCGCAAAAAUGCAACAAAAGCACUGUGUUAAAUAGAGAGGAUAAGAUGAAAAAGUCCAGGUGCUGCAGUGUAUUUCAGUAAUAAAUGAACAGGUUGUAAAAGAUAUAUUUAAUGUGUCACACAAAAUUCCUUCAGAGAGGAUGGAAUCUAAUUACGCAUCCUGAAUUGAACAGACGCUUUCACACUUAACUUACACAACUCACCAUCUCGUCUCUUGUUCAAAACACUGCAGAAGGAAGAGUAAGGAUGCCCACUGGAGCCUUUCUCAUCAGACACUACUGCUCAGAACAAAUAUAUGAGCAACUUUAUACUGAUCGUGACUCCGCCUCCUCUUUAAAAAAAACCCCACUUUU
Molecule: long non-coding RNA, 1873 nt
Organism: Ictalurus punctatus (channel catfish)
Lineage: Eukaryota; Metazoa; Chordata; Actinopteri; Siluriformes; Ictaluridae
Source: Ensembl